AAUCCAGUCUGACAAAUACGAGAAUGAAAAGGAUUUGGGAAAGGCUGCCCAGCUGUGAGGGAGGCAGCGGAAGAAUGCUGGCACGGUCGGCCUCCACCACCAUGAUCUUCCCUAACCCUCCUGUGGGCACCACCUCUGAGAGACAGGAGCGCUGCAAGGCUCCUCAUGACGCAUAGACGACUGGCAUCCCUCUGAGAAAGCAACAUGUGGAAUUGCUCCUCCUUGGCUCCUCGCUUGCUGCCUCCAUCUCAAAGAAGCUCCCUGCGUCUAAGUGGAGGAUAGACCCCUGCACAUUCCCACCCACGUCCGCUUAAGGCUCCCAUUCUGAGUUCCAGGUCCCUGCCUGAGUUCCCACGUCACUUAUGCCUGCCUGAUGUCCGAACGUGCAUGUCCAAGAGAGCCUGCCUGCACGUGACCCUAGCCUCCAGGGCACCGCAGGACAGCCAGCCUCCAGGUCUCUGCCUACCGGAUAUCUGCUGAGGAACAAACCCUAAGCUGCUUCCUGAGGCUGGGUGGUCGGCUCUCCCCACCCAACCAGAGCCAGCCGGGCAGGACGGUUCUUGCUGAGCCUCAGGAGGGUCUUCACAGACAACUGAAGCAACGCGAAUGUCAAAUUUACAGAUGUCCUGAGUAUCCACAGCGAGACACAAACAAGUAGUGAAGCCACGUACCCCAUCGCUGCUUCAUCGUUCCACUGCAAUAAUUCCAGAUACGAUUAGUUGUGGCUACAGAGUUAAGCCCCGUUGUUAAUUAUUUUUUGGUAUUUUUUGGAGCCAAAGUCAUGGGCAUAGAAUUCAAAUGUUGUUCCUUUACUGCGGUCAGACUGAUCUCACAUGACGCAGUUUGCUUCUCUGACUCGUGUGUCCAUUCUUCUCCCUUUUCUGUCAUUAUUAUUAGGCCAUUAUUGAAUUUCCAAGGCAUGACCCUUGUUAGGAAAUGAUGGAAACAACGCAGUUGCUCUAUAAUCACCAAUUACGUUGUGACUUCUUACAAAUAAGCGUACUCAACUUUCAGCGUUACUCAUUCAUUGUAAAAUGGCCGCGGUGUGAUCAGGGGUAUCAGCUCACUUCACACAAUCAGAACUUGUUCGUCUGGGGCGUCCUGAAUGAUGCCAAAACCUGUGCUCCAGAUGGGCGAGAGUGUGAACGAGAACCACCUCAGGAGAGCCUCCUGCCUGGAGCCCCGUGCCGAACUGUAUGGAGGGGGUGGGGGGCUGAGAGGGAAUAAGAGAGGUGACCUUGCCAUGUAGACUGUUCCUCUGAGAGUAAAGAGCCCGCUGGAGGGAGCUGUUCCGACUCUAGUGCUGGGCUCUCCAGUGGUCUCAGUUAGAACAGCAACAUUGCUCAGGCUCAGGCCGGUGGGAAAACAGCCGGAAUUCAGGAGCCUCCGGUUUUCUUUUUCAGAUUCCCCCAAAUGUCUCAUUUUUAAAAAAAAAAAUGAGUUCAUGCUUUUGUGAAUCAGGAUUGAAAUAAAGGCCAUACAUUGUUAUAUUGGCUGAUAUUU
RNAcentral lists this long non-coding RNA (1503 nucleotides) under Ursus maritimus (polar bear). Its description in RNAcentral is "lncRNA (ENSUMAG00000019698.1)". The record is from RNAcentral. Lineage: Eukaryota; Metazoa; Chordata; Mammalia; Carnivora; Ursidae.